UACGUAGGGUCCGAGCGUUGUCCGGAAUUACUGGGCGUAAAGAGCUUGUAGGCGGUUCGUCGCGUCGGUUGUGAAAACUUGGGGCUCAACCUUAAGCUUGCAGGCGAUACGGGCGGACUAGAGUACUUCAGGGGAGACUGGAAUUCCUGGUGUAGCGGUGAAAUGCGCAGAUAUCAGGAGGAACACCGGUGGCGAAGGCGGGUCUCUGGGAAGUAACUGACGCUGAGAAGCGAAAGCAUGGGUAGCAAACAGG
This 253-nucleotide ribosomal RNA is filed under the name uncultured Nocardia sp. Its description in RNAcentral is "partial 16S ribosomal RNA". It matches the Rfam family "Bacterial small subunit ribosomal RNA", at positions 524 to 776 of the family's 1533-position model. Lineage: Bacteria; Bacillati; Actinomycetota; Actinomycetes; Mycobacteriales; Nocardiaceae. The record is from RNAcentral.